GACCCAGGGGACAGAAGCAGCUGGGCCUGCGGCCAAAGCAGCAGCACUUUCCCCGCCCACUCCUCCUCCCCACUUACCGACCCCAGGUCUCUUACCUUCAUGGUGGGCGGCGCAGUGAGAGGAGGGGACAGCGGCCGGUCCGGAAGGGUCACGUCCGAGCUGUUGGCCAGCUCCUGCUUCCUGUGAAGAGGCCACAGAACACAGAAGAGGAGAAGGGGGCUGCGUGGAGACACACAGACACACAGGAGAAUGCCACGGGACAACGAGGGCAGAGGUUGGAGUGAUGCCGCUGGGAUGCCAAGAAACACCAAGGACUGCGGGCCACCACCAGAAGCUACAGGAGGCAAAGAAGGAUUCUUCUGGCCCGAAUCCUUCAGAAGGAGCACCUAACACCUUGAUUUUGGACUUUUAACCCUCAGAACCGAGACGGGCUGCACCCACAGUUGCCAGACUAGGGG
Molecule: long non-coding RNA, 458 nt
Organism: Phacochoerus africanus (Common warthog)
Lineage: Eukaryota; Metazoa; Chordata; Mammalia; Artiodactyla; Suidae
Exons: 3
Source: RefSeq, a predicted model, not a curated record